GAUGAACGCUGGCGGCGUGCCUAAUACAUGCAAGUCGAGCGAACAGAUGAGGAGCUUGCUCCUCUGACGUUAGCGGCGGACGGGUGAGUAACACGUGGAUAACCUACCUAUAAGACUGGGAUAACUUCGGGAAACCGGAGCUAAUACCGGAUAAUAUAUUGAACCGCAUGGUUCAAUAGUGAAAGACGGUUUUGCUGUCACUUAUAGAUGGAUCCGCGCCGCAUUAGCUAGUUGGUAAGGUAACGGCUUACCAAGGCAACGAUGCGUAGCCGACCUGAGAGGGUGGUCGGCCACACUGGAAGUGAGACACGGUCCAGACUCCUACGGGAGGCAGCAAUAGGGAAUCGUCCGCAAUGGGCGAAAGCCUGACGGAGCAACGCCGCGUGAGUGAUAGAGGUCUUCGGAUCGUAAAAACCUGUUAUUAGGGAAGAACAAAUGUGUAAGUAACUAUGCACGUCUUGACGGUACCUAAUCAGAAAGCCACGGCUAACUACGUG
Molecule: ribosomal RNA, 497 nt
Filed under: uncultured bacterium
Lineage: Bacteria
Description: partial 16S ribosomal RNA
Rfam family: Bacterial small subunit ribosomal RNA
Source: RNAcentral